This 116-nucleotide ribosomal RNA is filed under the name uncultured bacterium 164. The record is from RNAcentral.
UCCGGUGGUUGUAUCGGUAGGGUCACACCCGUUCCCAUCCCGAACACGGCAGUUAAGCCUACUGGAGCCGAUGAUACUGCAUCUUUCAGGUGUGGGAAAGUAGGAAGCCGCCGGAU